Chlorocebus sabaeus (green monkey) is the source of this 297-nucleotide non-coding RNA. The record is from Rfam. Lineage: Eukaryota; Metazoa; Chordata; Mammalia; Primates; Cercopithecidae.
GGAUGUGAGGGCAGUCUGGCUGCAACAUCUGUCAGCCUAUUGUUUGCUAGGGUUGAUUUGGCACAUCUGGCUGGCUAGGCGGGUGUCCACUUCCUCUCUCACCAGUCCAUGUGUGUCCCUGCUGAAGCUACGUGCUCAGUCAAAGAGCAUGACCGUUCCUGAUAGAGGAGGGUCAGUCUUUGGUCAAGAGUAUACAAAUAGCUGCAUUCCCCUGCAGCUACUCCAAACAAGCUCUCGUUAGUUGUAUGCCUUGAAUAUUAAUAAGAUCCCGAGGUCAGGUACAACUUUGUCUUCUGU